Molecule: RNA transcript, 1481 nt
Organism: Helianthus annuus (common sunflower)
Lineage: Eukaryota; Viridiplantae; Streptophyta; Magnoliopsida; Asterales; Asteraceae
Exons: 8
Source: RefSeq, a predicted model, not a curated record
UUGAGGCAACCUUCAAUGCUUUCAAAAAUUUUAAGCUUCCCUCCUACUAUCUAAAGAAAUCUAAUUCCCUCCUUCCAAAAAGAAUUAAUCUCCUUCCUCCCACCUUCUUUUAACCUAAAACGGUUGUCCUCCCUCCUGUGACCCUUACACUCACCUAGAAAACAACUCACCCUCCCUUUAAAUCACCGUCACGAUUCUACCCUUGACCAUCGCAUAUCUCCAAUAGGCCUGCGGGGUGUUGAUUCUGCCAUCCGAAACCAUCUUGUAUUCUUAUAGAAGUUGUUUGUAGCCGUUCACACCAACAACCGGCUCCCCCGGAUUACCUAGACUACAAUCACUGAUGUCACAUCCCAAUUGACCUCUCUUGUAGAAUGAAACAAUGCGUUUAGGGCAUAUGUCGCCAUGUCGGGGCAUUCACUGCUUCGGUAAAGAUUAGGAACACCUACACCUAAAAAAGUGGAAUUCUUAUAUCUCAAGGUUUGAGUGAUUCACGUCAGUCGUAUACAACUACUAAAAGGCAUGGGCACCAGGUGCAACAAAGUUUCAGAAGACGAAGAAAACUGGUAGAAAACAAGGAAAGCAUGACUCAGGUGUUGAUGUGAACCAUGAUAGAGUCCCAUCACCGCGGGUGGACACGAGUCUUGGUGGACCGCUUAUCGACUAUCCACCUAUCGAGAACCUGACCAAAUGCGAGUUGCUGUCUCCCUAGCACGCUCGCAAGGAAGUGACGGUGGCUAAAGGUAUGUCAUGGCGAACCCCUCCAAAUAUGAUUAUGAAUGAGAGUUGUAUCAAAAUUCAGGUUUAUUCUGUUGUUGGUGAACAUUCGGGAUUGUGUGUCCCAGAUGAAACACGCACUGAAGUUUUCAUUCGGGUCAAUUCACCUGACGGGAUGUAUCCCCGGUCGGUUUAUGAGAACAUCUUGUAUUUCGAAUUGUUAACCAUGCUCUUGGAGGGUUGGCUUGAUGUCACAAUAUUACAUUGGUUUGCCAUGAAACAUUGGUCGCUUAUAAUUGUUUGCCCGGACUUCAAAUUUAGCUAUAUUGUUGAUUCUAUAAAUGAUGGGAAGACCCUUAAAAAUUACAAGCUCGUCAAGAUCAUUGAAGAAGUUUUUGAGAUUAAUUUUAAGUGGCACAUGGUACAGGUAUGUGAAUACUUUAUUGUUUAAAAUAGUCUAAUCAAAGUAAUUCAUUGUGAAUAUGAUACAGUGCAAACAACAGAAAGGCAGUUAGGAAUGUGGGUAUAUGGUAAUCAAACAUAUGAAAGAGUUUAUCGACUCUAUACAACAUGAUUUGGUUAACCGACUUUGGAAUGAAGAAGGGGAUUUUGAAGAAUCUCAAAUUGAGAAUUUAGUGGUAGAUUUAAUGUUUGGAUUUAUUUAAAAAGAUGUUUUGAUCUUGUAAGCAUUAGUUUGUGUUUCAUACUUUUGUAAUUCCGUAUACUUGAACGGGUUGUUUAAUACUAGUUAACUUUUGUCGUGAGCA